ACUCCUACGCUGAGGCAGCAGUGGGGAAUCUUCCGCAAUGGACGAAAGUCUGACGGAGCAACGCCGCGUGUAUGAUGAAGGUCUUCGGAUUGUAAAGUACUGUCUUUGGGGAAGAAUGACUGAUUUGAAAAUAUUGAGUCAGUAUGACGGUACCCAAGGAGGAAGCCCCGGCUAACUACGUGCCAGCAGCCGCGGUAAUACGUAGGGGGCAAGCGUUGUCCGGAAUUAUUGGGCGUAAAGGGCGCGUAGGCGGAUAGUUAAGUCCGGUGU
This 270-nucleotide ribosomal RNA is filed under the name uncultured bacterium. RNAcentral describes it as "partial 16S ribosomal RNA". It matches the Rfam family "Bacterial small subunit ribosomal RNA", at positions 335 to 595 of the family's 1533-position model. The record is from RNAcentral.